RNAcentral lists this ribosomal RNA (326 nucleotides) under uncultured eukaryote. Its description in RNAcentral is "partial 18S ribosomal RNA". It matches the Rfam family "Eukaryotic small subunit ribosomal RNA", at positions 1470 to 1796 of the family's 1831-position model. The record is from RNAcentral.
CCCUUAGAUGUUCUGGGCCGCACGCGCGCUACAAUGAUGCAGGCAACGAGUGCCGCUCCUUAGCCGAAAGGCUUGGGGAAUCUUGAAAACUGCAUCGUGCUAGGGAUAGAUGAUUGCAAUCGUGCAUCUUGAACGAGGAAUGCCUUGUAAGCAUGAGUCAUCAACUCGCGCUGAAUACGUCCCUGCCCUUUGUACACACCGCCCGUCGCUCCUACCGAUUGGAUGGUCCGGUGAACUGGUCGGACUGCUGUUUGAAAUUGCGGGUGCAGUUGAUUCACGGGAAGUCUAGUAAACCUUAUCAUCUAGAGGAAGGAGAAGUCGUAACA